Molecule: ribosomal RNA, 213 nt
Filed under: Strombidium inclinatum
Lineage: Eukaryota; Ciliophora; Spirotrichea; Strombidiidae
Description: partial Bacterial large subunit ribosomal RNA
Rfam family: Bacterial large subunit ribosomal RNA
Source: RNAcentral
UUGAGCAAACCCAGGGAAGUGAACCAUCUCAGUACCUGGAGGAAGAGAAAACAAUAGUGAUUCCGCUAGUAGCGGCGAGCGAACGCGGAAUAGCCCAAACCAGACGACCUUUCGGGGGAGUUUGGGGUUGUAGGACUGUAUACGAGACUUUGAAGGUGAGUCGAACGGUUUGGAAAGACCGACCAUAGCGGGUGAUAGUCCCGUAGACGAAGC